AUUGAACGCUGGCGGCAGGCCUAACACAUGCAAGUCGCACGAGUGGCGGACGGGUGAGUAAUGUCUGGGAAACUGCCUGUUGGCGGGGGAUAACUACUGGAAACGGUAGCUAAUACCGCCUUCCCUCAGAUGUGCCCAGAUGGGCUUAGCUUGUUGGUGGGGUAACGGCUCACUAAGGCGACGCCCCCUAGCGGGUGUGUGAGGCUGUCCAGCACCAGUGGAACGGAGACAGGGUCCGGCGUCCUAGGGGAGGAAGAGGUGGGAAAUAUUGGACAAGGGGCGAAAGCCGGAUGCAGCCAGGCCGCGGGUAUGUAGCGGGCCUUCGGGUUGUAAGGUACUUUUAUCGGGGAGGCGUUACCCGCAGAAGAAGCACCGGCUAACUCCGUGCCAGCAGCCGCGGUAAUAC
This 406-nucleotide ribosomal RNA is filed under the name uncultured bacterium. Its description in RNAcentral is "partial 16S ribosomal RNA". It matches the Rfam family "Bacterial small subunit ribosomal RNA", at positions 28 to 526 of the family's 1533-position model. The record is from RNAcentral.